RNAcentral lists this ribosomal RNA (492 nucleotides) under uncultured bacterium. RNAcentral's name for it is "partial 16S ribosomal RNA". It matches the Rfam family "Bacterial small subunit ribosomal RNA", at positions 29 to 507 of the family's 1533-position model. The record is from RNAcentral.
AGUGAACGCUGGCGGUAGGCCUAACACAUGCAAGUCGAACGGCAGCACAGUAAGAGCUUGCUCUUACGGGUGGCGAGUGGCGGACGGGUGAGGAAUACAUCGGAAUCUACUUUUUCGUGGGGGAUAACGUAGGGAAACUUACGCUAAUACCGCAUACGACCUACGGGUGAAAGCAGGGGAUCUUCGGACCUUGCGCGAUUGAAUGAGCCGAUGUCGGAUUAGCUAGUUGGCGGGGUAAAGGCCCACCACGGCGACGAUCCGUAGCUGGUCUGAGAGGAUGAUCAGCCACACUGGAACUGAGACACGGUCCAGACUCCUACGGGAGGCAGCAGUGGGGAAUAUUGGACAAUGGGCGAGAGCCUGAUCCAGCCAUACCGCGUGGGUGAAGAAGGCCUUCGGGUUGUAAAGCCCUUUUGUUGGGAAAGAAAAGCAGCAGGUUAAUACCCCGCUGUUCUGACGGUACCCAAAGAAUAAGCACCGGCUAACUUCGUG